RNAcentral lists this non-coding RNA (27 nucleotides) under Mus musculus (house mouse). The record is from RNAcentral. Lineage: Eukaryota; Metazoa; Chordata; Mammalia; Rodentia; Muridae.
UGGCUCCAGUCGCAUAUGUAGCAGAGG